RNAcentral lists this ribosomal RNA (402 nucleotides) under Athene cunicularia (burrowing owl). Its description in RNAcentral is "partial 12S small subunit ribosomal RNA". It matches the Rfam family "Bacterial small subunit ribosomal RNA", at positions 770 to 1376 of the family's 1533-position model. The record is from RNAcentral. Lineage: Eukaryota; Metazoa; Chordata; Aves; Strigiformes; Strigidae.
AACUGGGAUUAGAUACCCCACUAUGCCCGGCCCUAAAUCCUGAUGCCUCCUACAACCAAGGCAUCCGCCCGAGCACAAACGCUUAAAACUCUAAGGACUUGGCGGUACCCCGAACCCACCUAGAGGAGCCUGUCCUGUAAUCGAUACCCCACGAUACACCCGACCACCCCUUGCACAAGCAGCCUACAUACCGCCGUCGCCAGUCCACCUCUUGAGAGCCCAACAGUGGACACAAGAGCAAACCCGCUAGCAAGACAGGUCAAGGUAUAGCUAAUGAGGUGGCAGAGAUGGGCUACACUCUCUAGACUAGAGAACUAAACGGACGGGGGCAUGAAACUGCCCCCCAAAGGCGGAUUUAGCAGUAAAAGUGGCAAGCUUCCACCUGGGAUUAGAUACCCCACU